GGGGACAUAGCUCAGCUGGGAGAGCAACAGACUGAAGUAGAGUUAGUAGGUGUACAAACUUCUGGAGGUCCCCGGUUCAAUCCCGGGUGUCCCCA
Molecule: non-coding RNA, 95 nt
Organism: Armillaria nabsnona
Lineage: Eukaryota; Fungi; Basidiomycota; Agaricomycetes; Agaricales; Physalacriaceae
Source: the annotation of a GenBank genome assembly